GGCCUCAUGGUGGAGUGGUAAACACAUCUGACUUUCACCCAGAAGAGCGCCGGUUCGAACCCGGCUGAGGUCA
This 73-nucleotide transfer RNA is filed under the name Deinococcus hopiensis KR-140. It matches the Rfam family "tRNA". Rfam says of the family: Transfer RNA (tRNA) molecules are approximately 80 nucleotides in length. Their secondary structure includes four short double-helical elements and three loops (D, anti-codon, and T loops). Further hydrogen bonds mediate the characteristic L-shaped molecular structure. tRNAs have two regions of fundamental functional importance: the anti-codon, which is responsible for specific mRNA codon recognition, and the 3' end, to which the tRNAs corresponding amino acid is attached (by aminoacyl-tRNA synthetases). tRNAs cope with the degeneracy of the genetic code in two manners: having more than one tRNA (with a specific anti-codon) for a particular amino acid; and 'wobble' base-pairing, i.e. permitting non-standard base-pairing at the 3rd anti-codon position. Lineage: Bacteria; Thermotogati; Deinococcota; Deinococci; Deinococcales; Deinococcaceae. The record is from Rfam by way of RNAcentral.